This 263-nucleotide unclassified non-coding RNA is filed under the name uncultured Ascomycota. RNAcentral describes it as "sequence contains ITS2". The stretch from base 1 to 52 matches the Rfam family "5.8S ribosomal RNA", at positions 103 to 154 of the family's 154-position model. Lineage: Eukaryota; Fungi; Ascomycota. The record is from RNAcentral.
AACGCACAUUGCGCCUCCGGGUAUUCCUGGAGGCAUGCCUGUUCGAGCGUCGUUUAGACCAUGAGGCCUUGCCUUGCGAUGACACCUGGUACCCGACGGGUUCCAUCUGUUCAAACACAUUGGCAUCCUGAAGUUGGGCCCAGCACAGCAUAAUGUGCGGGGGACGACGGAAGGAUGCCUGUACCACGGCGGUCCCCGACCCUGCGGUCGGGACCGCUCCAUUGGUCGACCUCGGAUCAGGCAAGAUUACCCGCUGAACUUAA